Pipistrellus kuhlii (Kuhl's pipistrelle) is the source of this 592-nucleotide long non-coding RNA. RefSeq lists it as uncharacterized. The record is from RefSeq and is a predicted model, not a curated record. NCBI's taxonomy places the organism in Eukaryota, Metazoa, Chordata, Mammalia, Chiroptera, Vespertilionidae. The transcript is spliced from 3 exons.
CCUCGCGGCGGCCGGCGGGAUAAGUCGGGACGCUGCGCCCGCUGCUCCCCCGGACCCGGGGCCGCCUGCCCAGCCCAGCCCGGAGGUGCCCCCCGCCGGCCGGACGUCCCUCAGCCCCUCACGCCCGGGGCUGGGUCUCCGGAGUCCCCACGGCCUGCCUGGAGGGAGGCGUGUCUGGAACUCGGAGCUGGCGGGACGCUCGCCGGCGUCGCAGAACAUGGGGUUCGAAACCCCGCUCCGCUGUCUCUCCGCGCCGCGGACCUCAGGCUUUUGAGCCUCAGUUUCCCCGCUCGGGCGGGCACCUCGGAGGCAGAGGCACAACCACUGGCACAAGACCAUGGAACCCCUCAGUGUUCCCUUGUUCCUUGAUACGAUAUCUAUGUGCUGUAAAAGAGAUAGAUCCUCUCCUCCUACCUUCCAGAAAUCAGUUACUGUAUGAUCCCAUUUAUAUGUGGAAUAUAAAAAGCCCAAAAUAAAUGAAGAAAAACCUCCAGAAACAGACUCAUAGAUAUAAAGAACAAGCUGGUGGUUGCCAAUAGGAAGGGUCUGGAUGAUGGAAAUAAAAAAAAGGUAUAUCCACUAAAAAAAGUUA